This 253-nucleotide ribosomal RNA is filed under the name uncultured bacterium. RNAcentral's name for it is "partial 16S ribosomal RNA". It matches the Rfam family "Bacterial small subunit ribosomal RNA", at positions 524 to 776 of the family's 1533-position model. The record is from RNAcentral.
UACAGAGGGUGCGAGCGUUAAUCGGAAUUACUGGGCGUAAAGCGCGCGUAGGCGGCUUUGCAAGUCGGGUGUGAAAUCCCCAGGCUUAACCUGGGAACUGCAUUCGAGACUGCAUUGCUAGAGUAUGGAAGAGGGAAGCGGAAUUCCCGGUGUAGUGGUGAAAUGCGUAGAUAUCGGGAGGAACACCAGUGGCGAAGGCGGCUUUCUGGUCUGUUCUUGACGCUGAGGCGCGAAAGCUAGGGUAGCAAACGGG